GCGGCGGGACCGGGUGAGAGCGGAGCGUGGUGAGCGUCCGGAGUGAGCCCGCCGGGUGCCCGAAGUGUCCCCGCAGUGUUCCCGCAGUCUCCGUGCCGUGCCCCCACGGUGUACUUCUAGACAGUGUCCCUAUAUUUUCCCCACAGUGUCUUCCCAAUGUCUCUCCGCCGUGCCCCCGCAGUGUCCCGGCUGGGUCCCCACUGUCUCCUCACAGUGUCCCCGCAAAGCCGCUGCCGUUUUCCCCACAGUGUCUCUACUGUGUCCCACGUUGUCCCUGCCGUGUCCCCAUAGUGCCCUCCCUGUCUCCCCCACAGUGUCCCCACCGUUUCCCCUACAGCGUCAACACCGUAUCUCCACAAUGUUCCCGUUGUGUCCCCACAGUACCCUCGCAGUGUCCCCAAUGCCUCCCCACCCUGUCCCCACAGUGUCCCCACUGUCCCUGAUAACGUUGCCCGUGUCCCAGCAGUGUCCCCACAGUCUCCCUGCCAUGUCCCCACUGUGGCCCCACCGUGUCCUCCCCGUCUCCGCACAGUGGUCCCACAGUGUCCCUGCUCUCUAGACAAACCAGCGGUUUUCUCUCCUCAGUGUGUUGGUCAGUGUGGGCUUAAAGUGUUCCAGCCAUGAAAACGUCAGGAGGGUUGACACAAACCAACACUUCAGACACAAACUUGUGCCUGCGCAAGUAUCUAUUUUUUUUCCCCCAGAAUAUUUAGGGUUGGACGGGACCUCUGAAGACCAUCCAGUGGAAACAGGGUCACCUGAAGCAGGGCAAUGUCCUGCAACUUGGAACUUAGUAAUCCCAAAUUCUCACCUGGACAAAGCCUCAGUCCUCUGCCUAUCCAGAGUUUCCUGCAAGAGUUGACAUUAGUCUGCAAAACCCUUCAUCAAAGACCUUUAGUACCUCAAAUAUCUCCUCACUUCCAUUUUAUUUUGACACCCUGAGACCAGGCAGCUGCUUCUCUCACCUCUGCCUUAGAGCUCUCACAGGAGUUGUCAGCGUCACCUUCUGAAAUAAGCUGAAACUCUUACUCAAAACUUCACUGUUUGGAUCGCUGUGCCAACUCAAAUACAACUGCUGUUCGUGACAAACACAUGCUUUACAAAAUGAAGGAUAAAGAAUUGUGUCAACUAGAGAUAGAGAGGAAGAUGAAACAAGCACAGGAAUACACAAGAGGGAAAAAGAAGCAGCAAGAACAUUGUGUUCAUCAGUCAUGGACCCAAAUUAGCCUGGGAAAGAGAUCUGGAAAUUAUAUUAACUACUCCUGUGAAAGCAUCAGAGAAAAAUCAUUGAGAGAAGCAAUAACUUAUUUUCCUGGAAGUGAAAAGGAACUGUAUUUCUGCUGGGAGUUCAGAAUUGCUUCUCCUUCACAAAGGCCUCAGAUGAUUGUGGUUUGAUGAGACAGAAACUUCUGAAGUGGGAUUAAGAAAAUGUCUGUUCUAGGAUCCUGUUUUGUGCCUGGAAAGUUGGUUCCUCCCAGCACAGACCCUGCAACCCACUCCCUGAUCACCUGCUGCAGGUCCAAGUGAAGCAGGAACCAGCUGGGUAAAAAUUCUGUGGUUUUGUGACCCAAGGAAUUGGUUCUUCAGCUAUUUAGGGAAUUAUCAGUGAAGGACUUCCCACUUACCUGCACCAUGGAAGCGGAUGUGGCUGGAAAAGCCUUUGUUCUCUCAUCCCACUUUGUACCUGGUUCACCACCCCAUGGCUCAGCCCAGGACCACUCAUUGGGAUCCAUUCCUGCCUGGAAUUUUGGAACUCCAGCUGACAGUGCUUGUGCACAGUGGUUCUCUUCGACUUGUGCCAACCUGUGCCAGUGCUUCCCCAGGAUUUUACACAGGAAUACGUGAGGAUACUCCUGCUCUUCCUUCCCUGCCCCACUUCAUCCAGUCUGAUACCAGCCAGAAGUUAAAAAUAUGAAGAAAAUCCACCGAAAGAAAUGAAAAUAUUUUUGUUUCGUUUCGUUUAUGGUGUUCA
Long non-coding RNA from Corvus hawaiiensis (hawaiian crow), 1972 nucleotides. RefSeq lists it as uncharacterized. The record is from RefSeq and is a predicted model, not a curated record. NCBI's taxonomy places the organism in Eukaryota, Metazoa, Chordata, Aves, Passeriformes, Corvidae. The transcript is spliced from 5 exons.